This 468-nucleotide ribosomal RNA is filed under the name uncultured bacterium. RNAcentral describes it as "partial 16S ribosomal RNA". It matches the Rfam family "Bacterial small subunit ribosomal RNA", at positions 28 to 507 of the family's 1533-position model. The record is from RNAcentral.
GACGAACGCUGGCGGCGUGCUUAACACAUGCAAGUCGAACGGAAAGGCCCUGCUUUUGUGGGGUGCUCGAGUGGCGAACGGGUGAGUAACACGUGAGUAACCUGCCCUUGUCUUUGGGAUAACUUCAGGAAACUGGGGCUAAUAUCGGAUAGGAGCUCCUGCUGCAUGGUGGGGGUUGGAAAGUUUCGGCGGUUGGGGCUGGACUCGCGGCUUAUCAGCUUGAUGGUGGGGUAGUGACUUACCAAGGCUUUGACGGGUAGCCGGCCUGAGAGGGUGACCGGCCACCUUGGGACUGAGAUACGGCCCAGACUCCUACGGGAGGCAGAAGUGGGGAAUAUUGCACAAUGGGCGGAAGCCUGAUGCAGCAACGCCGCGUGCGGGAUGACGGCCUUCGGGUUGUAAACCGCUUUCGCCUGUGACGAAGCGUGAGUGACGGUAAUGGGUAAAGAAGCACCGGCUAACUACGUG